RNAcentral lists this long non-coding RNA (200 nucleotides) under Citrus sinensis (sweet orange). RNAcentral describes it as "long non-coding RNA (CSIN_LNC002929)". Lineage: Eukaryota; Viridiplantae; Streptophyta; Magnoliopsida; Sapindales; Rutaceae. The record is from RNAcentral.
UUGGAAGAAAAUUUAAUCACACAUACAUGUUAAGGUGGCAGAAAUUUCUUGCGAAGCGCCCCUAAUCAUUCGAGCUAUGAAUUGGACCUGGUUUUGUAUAUCAUCGAGAAAACAAUUGAAGGGUCCACAUAACCAAACGAGGGUCUUUUGGUGUUGGACGCGACGGUCGGGAAGGGGAGCUGGCGGUGGGUACAGUAACA